RNAcentral lists this transfer RNA (67 nucleotides) under Oniticellus egregius. Its description in RNAcentral is "tRNA-Gly". Lineage: Eukaryota; Metazoa; Arthropoda; Insecta; Coleoptera; Scarabaeidae. The record is from RNAcentral.
AUUUAUAUAGUAUAAAAAUUAUAAUUAAUUUCCAAUUAAAAGAUCUAAGAUAAAUUUAGUAUAAAUA